RNAcentral lists this long non-coding RNA (1667 nucleotides) under Sus scrofa (pig). RNAcentral's name for it is "lncRNA (ENSSSCG00050038946.1)". Lineage: Eukaryota; Metazoa; Chordata; Mammalia; Artiodactyla; Suidae. The record is from RNAcentral.
UGGAGGUUCCCAGGCUAGGGGUCUAAUUGGAGCUGUAGCCACCGGCCUACGCCAGAGCCACAGCAACUCGGGAUCCGAGCCGCGUCUGCAACCGACACCACAGCUCACGGAAACGCCGGAUGGUUAACCCACUGAGCAAGGGCAGUGACCGAACCCGCAACUUCAUGGUUCCUAGUCGGAUUCGUUAACCACUGCGCCACGACAGGAACUCCCUGAUUUUUUUUUUUUUUUUUUACUUUAUCGAGUCAUAACUUACUUAACCUACAAUUUGCCCAUGUAAAGUAUACAAUUCAAUGGCUUUUUUUGACUUCUCCUUUGCAUUCAUAACUUGGCUAAGUGUUUGGCACCAGAGCCCUAGGUUUCAGCCUAUCUUGGCUUUAGACAUGCCUUCCUAACUAAUCUUCAUUUCUGGCUUUUGAUUGAAAGUGAGAAUUAUGCAAACUCUUUCUUUUACUUGAACACAGGGUUAUUAACUGGCCUAAUUUCAAUAUUGUUCUCAGGGAAUAGGGAGGCUGGAGGAGAGGGAGGGAGAUAGGGAACAACCAGUUGGGGGAGAGGUUAGAACACACACAUUUAUCCACUGAGUGUGUCGUUUUAUAAGGGCAUGUUUCAUGGUGCCCCCAAACAAUAAGUAACAUCAAAGGUAAACUAAUCGCAGAUCACAAUAACCAAUAUAAUAAUCAUGAAAAAGUCUGAAAUAAUCACCAAAAUGUGACACAGAGACAGGAAGUGAGCAAAAUGCUGUUGGCAAAAAUGACACCAGGAGACUGGCUUAAGGUAAAAUCACCACAAACCUUCAACUUGUAAAAAAUUCAGUAUCUGUGAUGCACAGAAAGUGAAGCAUGAUAAAAUGAAGUAUGCCUGUAUUUUCACUGCCCUGAGUAUCUUAAAAUCCUAAAAAAUGUGUUCUUCUUCUUCGUUCCUCCUUCCCCCAAGCCCCUGGCAACUACUGGUCUUUUUACUUUCUCCACAGUUUUGCAUUUUCCAGGACAAAGUUGGAGUCAUACAGUAUAGAGCCAUUUCAGACUGACUUCUUCCACUUAGUAAUAUGCAUUAGAGGUUCCUCCAUGAUUUUUCAUGGCUUGAUAGUUCAUAUUCUUUUAGCACCAAAUAAUAUUCUAUCAUAUAGAGGUCACCAGUUUUUUCAUCCACUCACCUCCUGAAGAACAUCUUAGUUGCUUCUAAGUUUUGACAAUUAUGAACAAAGCUGUUAUAAACAUUCAUGUACAGGGUUUUGAAUAGACAUAAAUUUUCAACUCAUUUGGAUAAAUACCAAGGAGUACAACUGUCGAUCCUGUGGGAAGAGUAUGUUUAGUUUUGUACACACACAAAAAACCUGCUACCACUACUAAAUGAGUGCUCCUGUUGCUCCGCAUCCUUGCCAGCAUUUGGUGCUAAUGUUUGGGUUUUCACCAUUCUCAUAAGGCAUGUAGCAGUUUCUCAUUGUCAUUUUAAUUUAUAAUUCCCUAAUGAUACAUGAUGUUGAGCAUCUUUUCAUACGCUUGUUUGUUAUCCACAAACCUCUUUGGUGAGAUGUCUGCUCAGAUCUUUUGCCCAUUUUUCUAAUCAGGUUGUUCAUUUUUUUAUUGGUAAGUCAGAGCCUUUUCAAAAAUGAAGUCAAUAAACAUGGGUUCAAAUAUUCUCAUUUUGCUGGAUUCAUUUAACUG